UUUUUUUUUUAUGUCAUAUUUUUACGUCAAUAAUCAGAGGUUAAAAAGAGAGAGGAAAGGGGAAAUGAGCUGGAAAUGACGCCGUUCUGGUUAUAAAUGAGGCUGCUAAACCUUCCUCCUUUCUCUUCAUGUGUCAUUUGGUUUCAGCUGAUGAGUUGUCCUGCGCUACGGUGUUGUUAUGGUGAUGUCAGUCAGAAUGGCUCUUCUUCUUCCUCUCAUCUUUUCUCUCAUGAUCCACAGGGUUUUUAGUACUGAUUGGGGUGUGACUUACAGUCCUUCACACAUCUG
Molecule: long non-coding RNA, 288 nt
Organism: Sinocyclocheilus anshuiensis
Lineage: Eukaryota; Metazoa; Chordata; Actinopteri; Cypriniformes; Cyprinidae
Exons: 3
Source: RefSeq, a predicted model, not a curated record